This 397-nucleotide ribosomal RNA is filed under the name uncultured bacterium. Its description in RNAcentral is "partial 16S ribosomal RNA". It matches the Rfam family "Bacterial small subunit ribosomal RNA", at positions 523 to 918 of the family's 1533-position model. The record is from RNAcentral.
AUACGUAGGGGGCGAGCGUUGUCCGGAAUGAUUGGGCGUAAAGGGCGCGUAGGCGGCCCGGUAAGUCUGGAGUGAAAGUCCUGCUUUUAAGGUGGGAAUUGCUUUGGAUACUGUCGGGCUUGAGUGCAGGAGAGGUAAGUGGAAUUCCCAGUGUAGCGGUGAAAUGCGUAGAGAUUGGGAGGAACACCAGUGGCGAAGGCGACUUACUGGACUGUAACUGACGCUGAGGCGCGAAAGUGUGGGGAGCAAACAGGAUUAGAUACCCUGGUAGUCCACACUGUAAACGAUGAAUGCUAGGUGUAGGGGGUAUCGACCCCUUCUGUGCCGCAGUUAACACAAUAAGCAUUCCGCCUGGGGAGUACGGCCGCAAGGUUAAAACUCAAAUGAAUUGACGGGG